GAGGAAAGCUGGCGGCGUGCCUAAUACAUGCAAGUCGAGCGAACAGACGAGGAGCUUGCUCCUCUGACGUUAGCGGCGGACGGGUAAGUAACACGUGGAUAACCUACCUAUAAGACUGGGAUAACUUCGGGAAACCGGAGCUAAUACCGGAUAAUAUAUUGAACCGCAUGGUUCAAUAGUGAAAGACGGUUUUGCUGUCACUUAUAGAUGGAUCCGCGCCGCAUUAGCUAGUUGGUAAGGUAACGGCUUACCAAGGCGACGAUGCGUAGCCGACCUGAGAGGGUGAUCGGCCACACUGGAACUGAGACACGGUCCAGACUCCUACGGGAGGCAGCAGUAGGGAAUCUUCCGCAAUGGGCGAAAGCCUGACGGAGCAACGCCGCGUGAGUGAUGAAGGUCUUCGGAUCGUAAAACUCUGUUAUUAGGGAAGAACAAAUGUGUAAGUAACUAUGCACGUCUUGACGGUACCUAAUCAGAAAGCCACGGCUAACUACGUG
Molecule: ribosomal RNA, 497 nt
Filed under: uncultured bacterium
Lineage: Bacteria
Description: partial 16S ribosomal RNA
Rfam family: Bacterial small subunit ribosomal RNA
Source: RNAcentral